RNAcentral lists this ribosomal RNA (497 nucleotides) under uncultured bacterium. Its description in RNAcentral is "partial 16S ribosomal RNA". It matches the Rfam family "Bacterial small subunit ribosomal RNA", at positions 28 to 507 of the family's 1533-position model. The record is from RNAcentral.
GUUGAACGCUGGCGGCAUGCCUAAUACAUGCAAGUCGAGCGAACAAAUAGGGAGUUUUCUCCUUUGAAGUUAGCGGCGGGUGGGUGAGUCCCAGGGGUCUGACCUAUCUUUGGGACUGAGAUCCGUUAGGGAACCCGGAGAUCACAUCGGAUCAGAUUUCGAAACGCGUGGUUCGUUAGAGCAAGCUGUAUUUGAUAACACUUGUUGAUAGUCCCUAGUCGUAUUAGUUAGUUGGUACGGUAACGGCCUACCAAGGCGACGAUACGUAGCUGACCUGAGAGGAUGAUCGGCCACACUGGAACUGAGACACGGUCCAGACUCCUACGGGAGGCAGCAGUAGGGAAUCUUGGACAAUGGGCGAAAGCCUGACGCAGCAACGCCGCGUGAGUGAAGAAGGUCUUCGGAUUGUAAAGCACUUUUAGUUGGGAGGAAGAGACGUAAAUUAAUAUGUUCACGUUUUGACGUUACCAAAACAAAAAGCCACGGCUAACUACGUG